This 77-nucleotide transfer RNA is filed under the name Fusobacterium mortiferum. Its description in RNAcentral is "tRNA-Arg". It matches the Rfam family "tRNA". From Rfam's summary of the family: Transfer RNA (tRNA) molecules are approximately 80 nucleotides in length. Their secondary structure includes four short double-helical elements and three loops (D, anti-codon, and T loops). RNAcentral also lists the same sequence under 2 other names. Lineage: Bacteria; Fusobacteriati; Fusobacteriota; Fusobacteriia; Fusobacteriales; Fusobacteriaceae. The record is from RNAcentral.
GCUCCUAUAGCUUAGCUGGAUAGAGCAUCUGACUUCGGAUCAGAGGGUCGAGAGUUCGAAUCUUUCUGGGAGCGCCA